CCGCUCACUGUCAUGACAAGUGGACAGAUGCCCCGGGCCUCAGUUGACCCAUCUGUAAGUGGGGCCACGCGACAGCACCUCUGUCACAGGGCUGGGUGUGGGGUGAACAGGCUGGUCCCUGGAGGCAAGUAGUGUGGUGCCCUGAGGCCUGAGGCCAGGCUCCAGGACCGCUCAAGGAACAGGGGAUUUGAGGCAACUCAGAGAGGACAGGCCCAGCAGCCGGCCCCAGCCUGAUAUCUUCCCUCCGCUCAGGCCCCAGACGCAGCUGCAUCCUGGAGUCCUUCUGAGAAAUGUGGGACCUGCCCCAGCUCCACCCCAGGUGAGGGGCACCAGCCAGCUCCAGAGCUGCCUACCUUCCCUGUCAGGUGCACAGGUCAGCGCCAGGCCAACCCCAGAGCGAGAACACCUGUGCUGGACUGAGCUGGAGCAGCAGGGUGGCCUGCACCGGGGCAGCGAGGGAGGCGUUGGAUGGAGCCACCCCACGGCUCCUCUGUGAAGGUCUGCACGUCACUCAGAAAGUUGAAGCAAACCAAGCAGGGUUGGAGCCCACAGUUCACAGCCGGCUGCACAGGGGAUGCACCAAGCACAGUUUCCUAUGACAAGUGGAAACCUGUGCGCCACAGCAAAACUCCGUCACCACAGCAGCAGAUGGCUCCGAAGAAGUGGAGCGUUUUCAUCAGGUUCAACUUUGAAACCUCCACCA
Molecule: long non-coding RNA, 703 nt
Filed under: Homo sapiens (human)
Lineage: Eukaryota; Metazoa; Chordata; Mammalia; Primates; Hominidae
Description: non-protein coding lnc-FAAP20-1:4
Source: RNAcentral